UGGGGAAUAUUGCACAAUGGGGGAAACCCUGAUGCAGCGACGCCGCGUGAGUGAAGAAGUAUCUCGGUAUGUAAAGCUCUAUCAGCAGGGAAGAAAAUGACGGUACCUGACUAAGAAGCCCCGGCUAACUACGUGCCAGCAGCCGCGGUAAUACGUAGGGGGCAAGCGUUAUCCGGAUUUACUGGGUGUAAAGGGAGCGUAGACGGCGGUGCAAGUCUGAUGUGAAAGCCCGGGGCUCAACCCCGGUACUGCAUUGGAAACUGUACAGCUAGAGUGCAGGAGAGGUAAGUGGAAUUCCUAGUGUAGCGGUGAAAUGCGUAGAUAUUAGGAGGAACACCAGUGGCGAAGGCGGCUUACUGGACUGUAACUGACGUUGAGGCUCGAAAGCGUGGGGAGCAAACAGG
Molecule: ribosomal RNA, 404 nt
Filed under: uncultured bacterium
Lineage: Bacteria
Description: bacterial SSU rRNA
Rfam family: Bacterial small subunit ribosomal RNA
Source: RNAcentral